ACUCCCGUGGCGAAAUUGGUAAACGCUUCCCUUUGAGAGACGGAAUUGUUACUCUUUCAAAUCCUGUCGGGAGUACCA
RNAcentral lists this transfer RNA (78 nucleotides) under Fischerella muscicola CCMEE 5323. RNAcentral's name for it is "tRNA-Ser". The record is from RNAcentral. RNAcentral also lists the same sequence under 1 other name. Lineage: Bacteria; Bacillati; Cyanobacteriota; Cyanophyceae; Nostocales; Hapalosiphonaceae.